This 98-nucleotide ribosomal RNA is filed under the name Saxifraga losae. RNAcentral describes it as "partial 5.8S ribosomal RNA". It matches the Rfam family "5.8S ribosomal RNA", at positions 6 to 103 of the family's 154-position model. From Rfam's summary of the family: 5.8S ribosomal RNA (5.8S rRNA) is a component of the large subunit of the eukaryotic ribosome. It is transcribed by RNA polymerase I as part of the 45S precursor that also contains 18S and 28S rRNA. Functionally, it is thought that 5.8S rRNA may be involved in ribosome translocation. Lineage: Eukaryota; Viridiplantae; Streptophyta; Magnoliopsida; Saxifragales; Saxifragaceae. RNAcentral also lists the same sequence under 1 other name. The record is from RNAcentral.
UCGGCAACGGAUAUCUCGGCUCUUACAUCGAUGAAGAACGUAGCAAAAUGCGAUACUUGGUGUGAAUUGCAGAAUCCCGUGAACCAUCGAGUCUUUGA